GGGCGAUUGGCUCAGUGGUAGAGCACUCGCUUCACACGCGAGGGGUCACUGGUUCGAACCCAGUAUCGCCCA
RNAcentral lists this transfer RNA (72 nucleotides) under Actinomycetes bacterium. Its description in RNAcentral is "tRNA-Val". It matches the Rfam family "tRNA". Rfam says of the family: Transfer RNA (tRNA) molecules are approximately 80 nucleotides in length. Their secondary structure includes four short double-helical elements and three loops (D, anti-codon, and T loops). RNAcentral also lists the same sequence under 4 other names. Lineage: Bacteria; Bacillati; Actinomycetota; Actinomycetes. The record is from RNAcentral.